RNAcentral lists this ribosomal RNA (513 nucleotides) under uncultured bacterium. RNAcentral describes it as "partial 16S ribosomal RNA". It matches the Rfam family "Bacterial small subunit ribosomal RNA", at positions 28 to 507 of the family's 1533-position model. The record is from RNAcentral.
GACGAACGCUGGCGGCGUGCUUAACACAUGCAAGUCGAACGAAAAGAGGGAAAGAGCUUGCUCUUUCCGGAAUUGAGUGGCAAACGGGUGAGUAACACGUAAACAACCUGCCUUCAGGAUGGGGACAACAGACGGAAACGACUGCUAAUACCGAAUAAGUUCCAAGGGCCGCAUGGCCCAUGGAAGAAAAGGUGGCCUCUACCUGUAAGCUAUCGCCUGAAGAGGGGUUUGCGUCUGAUUAGCUGGUUGGAGGGGUAACGGCCCACCAAGGCGACGAUCAGUAGCCGGUCUGAGAGGAUGAACGGCCACACUGGAACUGAGACACGGUCCAGACUCCUACGGGAGGCAGCAGUGGGGAAUCUUCCGCAAUGGGCGAAAGCCUGACGGAGCAACGCCGCGUGAGGGAUGACGGCCUUCGGGUUGUAAAACUCUGUGAUCCGGGACGAAAAGGCAGAGUGCGAAGAACAAACUGCAUUGACGGUACCGGAAAAGCAAGCCACGGCUAACUACGUG